UACGGAGGGUGCAAGCGUUAUCCGGAUUCACUGGGUUUAAAGGGUGCGUAGGAGGGCAGGUAAGUCAGUGGUGAAAUCUUCGAGCUUAACUUGGGAACUGCCAUUGAUACUAUCAGUCUUGAAUACUGUGGAGGUUAGCGGAAUAUGUCAUGUAGCGGUGAAAUGCUUAGAUAUGACAUAGAACACCAAUUGCGAAGGCAGCUGGCUACACAAAUAUUGACACUGAGGCUCGAAAGCGUGGGGAUCAAACAGG
RNAcentral lists this ribosomal RNA (253 nucleotides) under uncultured bacterium. RNAcentral's name for it is "partial 16S ribosomal RNA". It matches the Rfam family "Bacterial small subunit ribosomal RNA", at positions 524 to 776 of the family's 1533-position model. The record is from RNAcentral.